GACGAACGCUGGCGGCGUGCUUAACACAUGCAAGUCGAACGGAAAGGCCCCUUUGGGGGUACUCGAGUGGCGCACGGGUGAGUAACACGUGAGUAACCUGCCCUUGACUUCGGGAUAACCUCAGGAAACUGGGGCUAAUACCGGAUAGGAAUCCUUGCUGCAUGGUGGGGGUUGGAAAGCUUCGGCGGUUUUGGAUGGACUGGCGGCGUAUCAGCUUGUUGGUGGGGUAGUGGCUUACCAAGGCUUUGACGGGUAGCCGGCCUGAGAGGGCGACCGGCCACAUUGGGACUGAGAGACGGCCCAGACGCCUACGGGAGGAAGCAGUGGGGAAGAUUGAACCAUGGGCGGAGGCUGGAUGCAGCAACGCCGCGGGCGGGAUGACGGUUUUCGGGUUGUAAACCGCUUGCAGCAGGGGCGAAGCUUGUGGUGACGUUACCUGCAGAAGAAGCACCGGCUAACUACGUG
RNAcentral lists this ribosomal RNA (465 nucleotides) under uncultured bacterium. Its description in RNAcentral is "partial 16S ribosomal RNA". It matches the Rfam family "Bacterial small subunit ribosomal RNA", at positions 28 to 507 of the family's 1533-position model. The record is from RNAcentral.